RNAcentral lists this small nuclear RNA (131 nucleotides) under Chinchilla lanigera (long-tailed chinchilla). RNAcentral describes it as "U4 spliceosomal RNA (ENSCLAG00000020815.1)". It matches the Rfam family "U4 spliceosomal RNA". From Rfam's summary of the family: U4 small nuclear RNA (U4 snRNA) is a component of the major U2-dependent spliceosome. The record is from Rfam by way of RNAcentral. Lineage: Eukaryota; Metazoa; Chordata; Mammalia; Rodentia; Chinchillidae.
AGCUUUAUGUAGUGGCAGCAUCAUAGCCAAUGAGAUUUACCCGAGGCAUGAUUAUUGCUAAUUGAGUUAUUUAUGCUUUGAGUUUCUCAUAUAAGAGAAAUGAUACAGUUUUUAAAUGUGUGUGUCUGACA